GCCGAUGUAGCUCAGUUGGUAGAGCACCUGACUUGUAAUCAGGGGGUCGCGAGUUCGAUUCCUGCCGUCGGCGCCA
Molecule: transfer RNA, 76 nt
Filed under: Burkholderiales bacterium
Lineage: Bacteria; Pseudomonadati; Pseudomonadota; Betaproteobacteria; Burkholderiales
Also listed under: 1 other name
Description: tRNA-Thr
Rfam family: tRNA
About the family: Transfer RNA (tRNA) molecules are approximately 80 nucleotides in length. Their secondary structure includes four short double-helical elements and three loops (D, anti-codon, and T loops).
Source: RNAcentral